Molecule: long non-coding RNA, 930 nt
Organism: Passer montanus (Eurasian tree sparrow)
Lineage: Eukaryota; Metazoa; Chordata; Aves; Passeriformes; Passeridae
Exons: 4
Source: RefSeq, a predicted model, not a curated record
CCAAUACAGACAAGAAGUGAAGGAAGGUUUGUUUGCUCCUAAACUGACUCUCUCACAUCCAGAAAUACCAUAGAGGUAAAUAUAGAUCUUCCAUCCAUGCAGGAACGCUGAAGGUCAGCUGCCCAUAGAUCUCAGGACUUGCUGAAACACAAGAAAACCAAGUUCCCCUUCUUGAUAGUCACUGGCAGGAGUUACAGUUCUGGGCUUUAGCUUAUUUGCUGAAAAGUCAAAGGUGCCCUUGGAAUUGUCAUUUCAUUUCAGCUGACACUUCUGGGAAGGAGAGUGAAAACUUCAGGGAAAGGAGCCAGGUCCUCAGCUGACACAAGAACUCAAGCUUCAGUCCUGCUUGUACUUCAGCAGCCUUAGUUUAAUCCUGCAGAAAUAAUCCUUUGGAGAAGGUGCAACAAUCCCAGUAUCUUGCUUCGUCAAAGAUAUAAAGCCAGAGAAUCUUUAAGGCUAAAAAGAUCUUUUAAAUCAUUGAACCCAUCCAUUAAACCAGAACUGCGAUGUUCACUAAAAAAAACCAUGUCUCUAAAUGCCACAAAUGCUCAUAUUUUAGAUGCCAACCAUUAUGAAAGUACAAUGCCUGAGAAGUCCAAAUGGAUUAUCCAGCAUGAAGGCAAGAGCCACUUAGGGGAACAGGAAUAUGGCAUGGAGAAGAGUAACAAACCCUGCUCGGAUGAACACAGCAUUAACUCAUAAAAGGAGGAAAGAGGGAAUCUGUUGUUGAUUGAGAGGAGCAUAAACGAGACUAAUAAUCACCUUUGUUUCAAUGUCACUGCUUUUGUUUUGAGACUUGUGCAGCCUCAUCCGUCUACAGCAUCAAUAUUUCAUAAAGAUUGCCAGUUUGGAACUAUUGCUGUCAUUCAUGUGCAUGUUAUAUCCUUCCACUCCUGUCGAUCUAUCUGCAGGAUCAGGACCUUAAUUUAC